CCUAGGGGAGGCAGCAGUGGGGGAUAUUGCACAAUGGGGGGAACCCUGAUGCAGCGACGCCGCGUGAGGGAUGAAGGUCUUCGGAUCGUAAACCUCUGUCAGCAGGGAAGAACGGUCACUGUGCUAAUCAGCAGUGAAUUGACGGUACCUGCAAAGGAAGCACCGGCUAACUCCGUGCCAGCAGCCGCGGUAAUACGGAGGGUGCGAGCGUUAAUCGGAAUUACUGGGCGUAAGGGGCUCGUAGGCGGUAUGUCAAGUCAAGGGGGAAAUCCCCGGGUUCACGGGGGGCACUGCCUUUGAAACUGGCAAACUGGAGUGUGUGAGAGGAUAGAGGAAUUCCAGGUGUAGGAGUGAAAUCCGUAGAUAUC
RNAcentral lists this ribosomal RNA (368 nucleotides) under uncultured bacterium. RNAcentral's name for it is "partial 16S ribosomal RNA". It matches the Rfam family "Bacterial small subunit ribosomal RNA", at positions 338 to 698 of the family's 1533-position model. The record is from RNAcentral.